Molecule: small nucleolar RNA, 138 nt
Organism: Delphinapterus leucas (beluga whale)
Lineage: Eukaryota; Metazoa; Chordata; Mammalia; Artiodactyla; Monodontidae
Gene: SNORA70
Rfam family: Small nucleolar RNA SNORA70
About the family: snoRNA U70 seems to be exclusive to mammals and is a member of the H/ACA class of snoRNA which contain H (ANANNA) and ACA box motifs. H/ACA box snoRNAs are involved in the conversion of uridines to pseudouridines (5-ribosyluracil) a constituent of structural RNAs (transfer, ribosomal, small nuclear, and small nucleolar).
Source: Ensembl
GUAGAACUGAAAAUGCAGCCCUACCCUGUACUCUAGCUACUGCAGUUACAGGUAUCUAACUAGAUGAUUUUAGCCUCCUGGGUAGUAUAUGCAGCCUGUUGCCCGUAUGGGUUGCCCUAAGGGACCUUGGAGACAGCC